Molecule: ribosomal RNA, 19 nt
Filed under: Cirsium arvense
Lineage: Eukaryota; Viridiplantae; Streptophyta; Magnoliopsida; Asterales; Asteraceae
Also listed under: 20 other names
Description: partial 28S ribosomal RNA
Source: RNAcentral
CGACCCCAGGUCAGGCGGA